CCCUGGCUGUCCCUCAAAAAGCAGACAAAACCAGCCAGCUGCAGACCCAGCUGUCAGCGAGCCCCUACACUGGCAUUCAAGUGGCCACAAGAGAACCCACACAGUGCCCGGAGAGGGUCCAUUCUUCGCCUUUCUCUUCCCUACAAUUGACAGGCUCUGAGGAAGGAAACAGGUGACAAAUGGAAAAACCAGAACGCCAGGGAGUGGCAGCCUGGAAAACAGCCUCAGAACAACUUCUUGAAGCAAAUUUUACAUGGAGAGAGUGAAUGAGGAUUUGUGGAGAUUGCAGCUCUCUGCUUGGACUCUUGGAGGACCCUCAAAGCCCAACAGGCAGGCCACGACACUGAAGGCCUCCCCACUCCCUCACAUUGGCCCCCUCCCAUCCUCAGUGUGGCCAUCCCAGGUCCCUGCACGAACCUGGGGACCGACCAAGGUCCUGCCCACCACCUGUCUGGGAAGCCCCUACCCUGCCACUUACUUGUACUCCUUCUGCAAUGGUCAACUCAAGCCUAGGCUCCUCCAGGAAGUCCCACCUGCCUCUCUCUCUUCUGCAAGUUUCCAAAGAAAGCAGAGUCCAUAUCACACUGCCCAGCCCAGCCCGUGUGAUCCCUCCAAGAAGUAAUCAGUCCUAGGCACUGGCGACGUGACACUACAGCACUCGGGAGAACCAAAAGCAGUUUUCCAGCUCUCACUGCCUAACGUCCAUAACAGCAGAAGUAACACUGGAGGGACCCCCCCCCCUCCGCCCCGCGUUGACCUUGGACCUCUGGUACAGGCAGAUCAGCAAAUACACUGCCUUGGAUUUGGAGCCAGGAACGUGCCGCCGCCUCCUGUUGCCCUGACCUCACCGGCUACAUGCAGCAGAAUGGCCGGAUAGUCUCCAAAUGCUAUUUGCCUGCCAUCACUGGCAACAGGUAACAAGCAGAAUGAGAAACUCUUACCUUUAUUUUCAUUUUUGUUUUCUUGAAAUAAAAUUUCUUAGAAUGAACUCUGAAAGUGAGGGAAAGAAAUCCUAAUUGGGUAACACCAUUGAAUGUUUCCAUUUUUCAGGGCAAAGCAAUCUCUGGAUUUGGGGUGGUGGGGAGGGCAUGCUGUGAGGCAUGUGGGAUCUUAGAUCCCCCACCAGGGACCCAUGUCCCCUGCAGUGGAAGUGCAGUUUUAACCACUGGACCAACAGGUAAAUCUCUGGACUU
Bubalus bubalis (water buffalo) is the source of this 1193-nucleotide long non-coding RNA. RefSeq lists it as uncharacterized. The transcript is spliced from 5 exons. Lineage: Eukaryota; Metazoa; Chordata; Mammalia; Artiodactyla; Bovidae. The record is from RefSeq and is a predicted model, not a curated record.